AUUGAACGCUGGCGGCAUGCCUUACACAUGCAAGUCGAACGGUAACAGGUCUUCGGAUGCUGACGAGUGGCGAACGGGUGAGUAAUACAUCGGAACGUGCCUAGUAGUGGGGGAUAACUACUCGAAAGCGUGGCUAAUACCGCAUGAGAACUACGGCUGAAAGCAGGGGAUCGCAAGACCUUGUGCGACUCGAGCGGCCGAUGGCAGAUUAGGGAGUUGGUGGGAUAAAAGCUUACCAAGCCGACGAUCUGUAGCUGGUCUGAGGGGACGACCAGCCACACUGGGACUGAGACACGGCCCAGACUCCGACGGGAGGCAGCAGUGGGGAAUUUUGGACAAUGGGCGCAAGCCUGAUCCAGCAAUGCCGUGUGCAGGAUGAAGGCCUUCGGGUUGUAAACUGCUUUUGUACGGAACGAAAAGCCCUGGGUUAAUACCCUGGGGUCAUGACGGUACCGUAAGAAUAAGCACCGGCUAACUACGUGCCAGCCGCCGCCGUAA
RNAcentral lists this ribosomal RNA (498 nucleotides) under uncultured bacterium. RNAcentral describes it as "partial 16S ribosomal RNA". It matches the Rfam family "Bacterial small subunit ribosomal RNA", at positions 30 to 523 of the family's 1533-position model. The record is from RNAcentral.